GACGAACGCUGGCGGCGUGCCUAACACAUGCAAGUCGAGCGGAGAUAUAUGGAAGGUUUACCGGAAAUAUAUCUUAGCGGCGGACGGGUGAGUAACGCGUGGGCAACCUGCCUCAUACAGGGGGAUAACACAGGGAAACUUGUGCUAAUACCGCAUGAAAUCAUAGUAUGGCAUCAUACAAUGAUCAAAGGAGCAAUCCGGUAUGAGAUGGGCCCGCGUCCGAUUAGCUAGUUGGUGAGGUAACGGCUCACCAAGGCGACGAUCGGUAGCCGAACUGAGAGGUUGAUCGGCCACAUUGGGACUGAGACACGGCCCAGACUCCUACGGGAGGCAGCAGGUGGGGAAUAUUGCGCAAUGGGGGAAACCCUGACGCAGCAACGCCGCGUGAAGGAAGAAGGCCUUCGGGUUGUAAACUUCUUUGAUAGGGGACGAUAAUGACGGUACCCUAAAAACAAGCCACGGCUAACUACGUG
This 473-nucleotide ribosomal RNA is filed under the name uncultured bacterium. Its description in RNAcentral is "bacterial SSU rRNA". It matches the Rfam family "Bacterial small subunit ribosomal RNA", at positions 28 to 507 of the family's 1533-position model. The record is from RNAcentral.